AUUGAACGCUGGCGGCAUGCCUUACACAUGCAAAUCGAACGGUAACGGGCCUUCGGGUGCCGACGAGUGGCGAACGGGUGAGUAAUACAUCGGAACGUGCCCGAUCGUGGGGGAUAACGAGGCGAAAGCUUUGCUAAUACCGCAUACGAUCUACGGAUGAAAGCAGGGGACCGCAAGGCCUUGCGCGGACGGAGCGGCCGAUGGCAGAUUAGGUAGUUGGUGGGAUAAAAGCUUACCAAGCCGACGAUCUGUAGCUGGUCUGAGAGGAUGAUCAGCCACACUGGGACUGAGACACGGCCCAGACUCCUACGGGAGGCAGCAGUGGGGAAUUUUGGACAAUGGGCGCAAGCCUGAUCCAGCCAUGCCGCGUGCAGGAUGAAGGCCUUCGGGUUGUAAACUGAUUUUGUAUGGAACGAAAAGCCUUCUUUUAAUACAGGAGGGUCAUGACGGUACCGUAAGAAUAAGCACCGGCUAACUACGUG
Molecule: ribosomal RNA, 482 nt
Filed under: uncultured bacterium
Lineage: Bacteria
Description: partial 16S ribosomal RNA
Rfam family: Bacterial small subunit ribosomal RNA
Source: RNAcentral